This 468-nucleotide ribosomal RNA is filed under the name uncultured bacterium. RNAcentral describes it as "partial 16S ribosomal RNA". It matches the Rfam family "Bacterial small subunit ribosomal RNA", at positions 28 to 507 of the family's 1533-position model. The record is from RNAcentral.
GACGAACGCUGGCGGCGUGCUUAACACAUGCAAGUCGAACGGAAAGCCCCUGCUUUUGUGGGGUGCUCGAGUGGCGAACGGGUGAGUAACACGUGAGUAACCUGCCCUUGACUUUGGGAUAACUUCAGGAAACUGGGGCUAAUACCGGAUAGGAGCUCCUGCUGCAUGGUGGGGGUUGGAAAGUUUCGGCGGUUGGGGAUGGACUCGCGGCUUAUCAGCUUGUUGGUGGGGUAGUGGCUUACCAAGGCUUUGACGGGUAGCCGGCCUGAGAGGGUGACCGGCCACAUUGGGACUGAGAUACGGCCCAGACUCCUACGGGAGGCAGCAGUGGGGAAUAUUGCACAAUGGGCGGAAGCCUGAUGCGGCAACGCCGCGUGCGGGAUGACGGCCUUCGGGUUGUAAACCGCUUUCGCCUGUGACGAAGCGUGAGUGACGGUAAUGGGUAAAGAAGCACCGGCUAACUACGUG